RNAcentral lists this ribosomal RNA (458 nucleotides) under uncultured bacterium. RNAcentral describes it as "bacterial SSU rRNA". It matches the Rfam family "Bacterial small subunit ribosomal RNA", at positions 28 to 499 of the family's 1533-position model. The record is from RNAcentral.
GACGAACGCUGGCGGCGCGCCUAACACAUGCAAGUCGAACGAGUGAGAGAGAGCUUGCUUUCUCGAGCGAGUGGCGAACGGGUGAGUAACGCGUGAGGAACCUGCCUCAAAGAGGGGGACAACAGUUGGAAACGACUGCUAAUACCGCAUAAGCCCACGGGUCGGCAUCGACCAGAGGGAAAAGGAGCAAUCCGCUUUGAGAUGGCCUCGCGUCCGAUUAGCUAGUUGGUGAGGUAACGGCCCACCAAGGCGACGAUCGGUAGCCGGACUGAGAGGUUGAACGGCCACAUUGGGACUGAGACACGGCCCAGACUCCUACGGGAGGCAGCAGUGGGGAAUAUUGCACAAUGGGGGAAACCCUGAUGCAGCGACGCCGCGUGGAGGAAGAAGGUCUUCGGAUUGUAAACUCCUGUUGUUGAGGAAGAUAAUGACGGUACUCAACAAGGAAGUGACGGCUA